RNAcentral lists this unclassified non-coding RNA (336 nucleotides) under soil metagenome. RNAcentral's name for it is "partial contains 5.8S ribosomal RNA, internal transcribed spacer 2, and large subunit ribosomal RNA". The stretch from base 1 to 120 matches the Rfam family "5.8S ribosomal RNA", at positions 35 to 154 of the family's 154-position model. The record is from RNAcentral.
GAUGAAGAACGUAGCGAAAUGCGAUACGUAAUGUGAAUUGCAGAAUUCAGUGAAUCAUCGAAUCUUUGAACGCACAUUGCGCCCGCUAGUAUUCUGGCGGGCAUGCCUGUCCGAGCGUCAUUUCAACCCAUCAAGCUUAGCGCUUGUGUUGGAGCCCUGCGGCCGCCGCAGCCUCCUAAAAUCAGUGGCGGGCUCGCUAUCACGCUGAGUGCAGUAGUAUUUUUCUCACUCCUGUGGUGUAGCGGGUAACCAGCCGUAAACCCCCCCAUCUAUAAAGGUUGACCUCGGAUCAGGUAGGAAUACCCGCUGAACUUAAGCAUAUCAAUAAGCGGAGGA